This 714-nucleotide ribosomal RNA is filed under the name Bacillus sp. PSu4_33. RNAcentral describes it as "bacterial SSU rRNA". It matches the Rfam family "Bacterial small subunit ribosomal RNA", at positions 56 to 751 of the family's 1533-position model. The record is from RNAcentral. Lineage: Bacteria; Bacillati; Bacillota; Bacilli; Caryophanales; Bacillaceae.
UGCAAGUCGAGCGGACAGAUGGGAGCUUGCUCCCUGAUGUUAGCGGCGGACGGGUGAGUAACACGUGGGUAACCUGCCUGUAAGACUGGGAUAACUCCGGGAAACCGGGGCUAAUACCGGAUGCUUGAUUGAACCGCAUGGUUCAAUUAUAAAAGGUGGCUUUUACCUACCACUUACAAAUGGACCCCCGGCCCAUUACCUAUUUGGUGAGGUAACGGCUCACCAAGGCAACAAUCCUUACCCAACCUGAAAGGGUGAUCGGCCACACUGGAACUGAAACACGGCCCAAACUCCAACGGAAGGCACCAUUAGGAAACCUUCCCCAAGGAACAAAAUUCUAACGAACCACCGCCCCGUGAUUGAUGAAGGUUUUCGAAUCGAAAAACUCUGUUGUUAGGAAAAAACAAUUACCGUUCAAAUAGGGCGGUACCUUGACGGUACCUAACCAAAAAGCCACGGCUAACUACUUGCCACCACCCGCGGUAAUACUUAGGUGGCAAGCGUUGUCCGAAAUUAUUGGGCGUAAAGCGCGCGCAGGCGGUUUCUUAAUUCUAAUGUGAAACCCCCCGGCUCACCCGGGAAGGGUCAUUGAAAACUGGGGAACUUGAUUGCAAAAAAGGAAAGUGAAAUUCCACUUGUACCGUUGAAAUGCUUAAAGAUGUGAAGAACCACCAUUGCCAAAGGCAACUCUCUGGUCUGUACCUGACCCUAAGG